RNAcentral lists this ribosomal RNA (233 nucleotides) under uncultured bacterium. Its description in RNAcentral is "partial 16S ribosomal RNA". It matches the Rfam family "Bacterial small subunit ribosomal RNA", at positions 100 to 334 of the family's 1533-position model. The record is from RNAcentral.
CGGGACGGGUGAGUAAUGUCUGGGAAACUGCCCGAUGGAGGGGGAUAACUACUGGAAACGGUAGCUAAUACCGCAUAACGCCGCAAGACCAAAGAGGGGGACCUUAGGGCCUCUUGCCAUCGGAUGUGCCCAGAUGGGAUUAGCUAGUAGGUGGGGUAAUGGCUCACCUAGGCGACGAUCCCUAGCUGGUCUGAGAGGAUGACCAGCCACACUGGAACUGAGACACGGUCCAG